This 325-nucleotide ribosomal RNA is filed under the name Klebsiella quasipneumoniae subsp. similipneumoniae. RNAcentral describes it as "partial 23S ribosomal RNA". It matches the Rfam family "Bacterial large subunit ribosomal RNA", at positions 398 to 726 of the family's 2925-position model. The record is from RNAcentral. Lineage: Bacteria; Pseudomonadati; Pseudomonadota; Gammaproteobacteria; Enterobacterales; Enterobacteriaceae.
UGUGAACUCGAAGAGUAGGGCGGGACACGUGGUAUCCUGUCUGAAUAUGGGGGGACCAUCCUCCAAGGCUAAAUACUCCUGACUGACCGAUAGUGAACCAGUACCGUGAGGGAAAGGCGAAAAGAACCCCGGCGAGGGGAGUGAAAAAGAACCUGAAACCGUGUACGUACAAGCAGUGGGAGCACCUUUAUGGUGUGACUGCGUACCUUUUGUAUAAUGGGUCAGCGACUUAUAUUCUGUAGCAAGGUUAACCGUAUAGGGGAGCCGCAGGGAAACCGAGUCUUAACUGGGCGUUAAGUUGCAGGGUAUAGACCCGAAACCCGGU